Molecule: long non-coding RNA, 221 nt
Organism: Ipomoea nil (Japanese morning glory)
Lineage: Eukaryota; Viridiplantae; Streptophyta; Magnoliopsida; Solanales; Convolvulaceae
Exons: 2
Source: RefSeq, a predicted model, not a curated record
CUUCUGACUCGGUCAUGUAUUACUGGUUCAAGAAGUUCAAGGAUGGGCCGAAUUCUGAGAUGGGUGGUUUUACCAGGAUCUUGCACUCUGGCAAGCCGGAUAGGUUCAUGGAUGAGAUACCUACUUUUGUUGCUCAGCCGCUUCCUUCUGGGAUGGAUCAGGGUUACAUAGUCCUUAACAGACCUUGGGCAUUUGUACAAUGGCUUCAACAAGCAGAUAUU